This 253-nucleotide ribosomal RNA is filed under the name uncultured bacterium. RNAcentral's name for it is "partial 16S ribosomal RNA". It matches the Rfam family "Bacterial small subunit ribosomal RNA", at positions 524 to 776 of the family's 1533-position model. The record is from RNAcentral.
UACGUAGGUGGCGAGCGUUGUCCGGAAUUACUGGGUGUAAAGCGCGUGUAGGCGGCAGGCCAAGUCGGUGGUGAAAGCGCCCGGCUCAACUGGGCGAGGUCCAUGGAAACUGGUCAGCUGGAGGACGGUAGAGGCGAGUGGAAUUCCCGGUGUAGUGGUGAAAUGCGCAGAUAUCAGGAAGAACACCAAUGGCGAAAGCAGCUCUCUGGGACGGUACUGACGCUGAGACGCGAAAGCGUGGGGAGCGAACAGG